This 216-nucleotide ribosomal RNA is filed under the name Vibrio sp. 03_296. RNAcentral's name for it is "partial 16S ribosomal RNA". It matches the Rfam family "Bacterial small subunit ribosomal RNA", at positions 1 to 214 of the family's 1533-position model. The record is from RNAcentral. Lineage: Bacteria; Pseudomonadati; Pseudomonadota; Gammaproteobacteria; Vibrionales; Vibrionaceae.
UUUAAUUGAAGAGUUUGAUCAUGGCUCAGAUUGAACGCUGGCGGCAGGCCUAACACAUGCAAGUCGAGCGGCAGCACAGAGAAACUUGUUUCUCGGGUGGCGAGCGGCGGACGGGUGAGUAAUGCCUGGGAAAUUGCCCUGAUGUGGGGGAUAACCAUUGGAAACGAUGGCUAAUACCGCAUGAUAGCUUCGGCUCAAAGAGGGGGACCUUCGGGC